GUCACUUUGCCGGAGUGGUUAACGGGAUCGCCUGCUAGUCUUAUAUAAUCAGUUUACAUAAGCAGCGUAGCGGUUGGGCUUUGCCCGCGUGUGUUCGAAUCGCACAGGUGACG
Non-coding RNA from Lentinula raphanica, 113 nucleotides. NCBI's taxonomy places the organism in Eukaryota, Fungi, Basidiomycota, Agaricomycetes, Agaricales, Omphalotaceae. The record is from the annotation of a GenBank genome assembly.